Molecule: ribosomal RNA, 377 nt
Filed under: uncultured bacterium
Lineage: Bacteria
Description: bacterial SSU rRNA
Rfam family: Bacterial small subunit ribosomal RNA
Source: RNAcentral
AUACGUAGGUGGCGAGCGUUGUCCGGAAUUACUGGGUGUAAAGGGCGUGUAGGCGGGGGCAUAAGUCAGAUGUGAAAAUCCAAGGCUUAACCUUGGGGCUGCAUCUGAAACUAUGUUUCUUGAGUGCUGGAGAGGAAAGCGGAAUUCCCAGUGUAGCGGUGAAAUGCGUAGAGAUUGGGAGGAACACCAGUGGCGAAGGCGGCUUUCUGGACAGUAACUGACGCUGAGGCGCGAAAGCGUGGGGAGCAAACAGGAUUAGAUACCCUGGUAGUCCACGCUGUAAACGAUGGAUACUAGGUGUAGGAGGUAUCGACCCUUUCUGUGCCGGAGUUAACACAAUAAGUAUCCCACCUGGGGAGUACGGCCGCAAGGUUGAA